RNAcentral lists this long non-coding RNA (662 nucleotides) under Mytilus galloprovincialis (Mediterranean mussel). The record is from RNAcentral. Lineage: Eukaryota; Metazoa; Mollusca; Bivalvia; Mytilida; Mytilidae.
UCACCAAUGCACGAUUGAUCCUAUAAACAAAAAGUGUUCAUGUAAUACACGUCCAAAUAAGCAGCAAAUCUAGAAGAAAAUCAUUCAACUUAUGUCAUCAAUUUUGGGCGGUAAGCUGCGAUUGGAUCAUAUAGUAACACGUGUUUAAUCCCGAUCAACACUUGCAGAUCUAGAGACGAGCAUGAAUUUAUAAAAAAAUCAAAGUAUAUGGCUGAAUAUAGACAAAAUCCAUUUUUUUCAUAAACAUUUAAUUCACUUUUAUCGAAUUUAUAUCAGUGGUGGAUCCAGGUCUAAAUCCAGGACAAAACAGGGGGGGGGGGGGUUCCAACUUUAUGUCCCCAUUUAAAUGCAUUGAUCGUCAAAAAAAGGGUUGUUCCAACCCCCGGGACUCCCACCACUGCAUAUUAAAUUCAUGUAUUUGGCAACAAACGCGCGAUUUCCACGAUUUUUUAAAGGGGGGAAUGGGGGGAUGGAAUGGCACAUCCUGCAUUUUUUCAUCAAAAAUAAAGAUCACAGCCUGUUUAUUUUAAAAUGAAUUAGCCCCUCUCCCCCCCCCUUUUUCCCCGCUUUCCGUUUUAUUCAUAAAAAUCAAACGUUAUCUUACUUACCACUAAAAUAUUUCUUUAAUAUAUUACUUUUUUACGAAGUUGCAUUUUAAAAAG